CCGAGAGGCGUAGUCGAUGGACAACCGGUUGAUAUUCCGGUACCCGCUUUGAAACGCCCAAUAUUGAAUCCUCUGAUGCUAAGUCCGUGAAGCCGCCCCUGAUCUCUUCGGAGUGAGGGGGAGUGGUGGAGCCGACGACCCGAGGUGGUAGUAGGUAAGCGAUGGGGUGACGCAGGAAGGUAGUCCAGCCCGGGCGGUGGUUGUCCCGGGGUAAGGGUGUAGGCCGUGUGGUAGGCAAAUCCGUCACACAUCAAGGCUGAGACCUGAUGCCGAGCCGAUUGUGGUGAAGUGGAUGAUCCUAUGCUGUCGAGAAAAGCCUCUAGCGAGUUUCAUGGCGGCCCGUACCCUAAACCGACUCAGG
RNAcentral lists this ribosomal RNA (361 nucleotides) under Trichotomospora caesia. RNAcentral's name for it is "bacterial LSU rRNA". It matches the Rfam family "Bacterial large subunit ribosomal RNA", at positions 1402 to 1663 of the family's 2925-position model. The record is from RNAcentral. Lineage: Bacteria; Bacillati; Actinomycetota; Actinomycetes; Kitasatosporales; Streptomycetaceae.